GGGUUGUGAGGUUAAGCGACUAAGCGUACACGGUGGAUGCCCUGGCAGUCAGAGGCGAUGAAGGACGUGCUAAUCUGCGAUAAGCGUCGGUGAGGUGAUAUGAACCGUUAUAACCGGCGAUUUCCGAAUGGGGAAACCCAGUGUGUUUCGACACACUAUCAUUAACUGAAUCCAUAGGUUAAUGAGGCGAACCGGGGGAACUGAAACAUCUAAGUACCCCGAGGAAAAGAAAUCAACCGAGAUUCCCCCAGUAGCGGCGAGCGAACGGGGAGCAGCCCAGAGCCUGAAUCAGUGUGUGUGUUAGUGGAAGCGUCUGGAAAGGCGCGCGAUACAGGGUGACAGCCCCGUACACAAAAAUGCACAUGCUGUGAGCUCGAUGAGUAGGGCGGGACACGUGGUAUCCUGUCUGAAUAUGGGGGGACCAUCCUCCAAGGCUAAAUACUCCUGACUGACCGAUAGUGAACCAGUACCGUGAGGGAAAGGCGAAAAGAACCCCGGCGAGGGGAGUGAAAAAGAACCUGAAACCGUGUACGUACAAGCAGUGGGAGCCUCUUUAUGGGGUGACUGCGUACCUUUUGUAUAAUGGGUCAGCGACUUAUAUUCUGUAGCAAGGUUAACCGUAUAGGGGAGCCGUAGGGAAACCGAGUCUUAACUGGGCGUUAAGUUGCAGGGUAUAGACCCGAAACCCGGUGAUCUAGCCAUGGGCAGGUUGAAGGUUGGGUAACACUAACUGGAGGACCGAACCGACUAAUGUUGAAAAAUUAGCGGAUGACUUGUGGCUGGGGGUGAAAGGCCAAUCAAACCGGGAGAUAGCUGGUUCUCCCCGAAAGCUAUUUAGGUAGCGCCUCGUGAAUUCAUCUCCGGGGGUAGAGCACUGUUUCGGCAAGGGGGUCAUCCCGACUUACCAACCCGAUGCAAACUGCGAAUACCGGAGAAUGUUAUCACGGGAGACACACGGCGGGUGCUAACGUCCGUCGUGAAGAGGGAAACAACCCAGACCGCCAGCUAAGGUCCCAAAGUCAUGGUUAAGUGGGAAACGAUGUGGGAAGGCCCAGACAGCCAGGAUGUUGGCUUAGAAGCAGCCAUCAUUUAAAGAAAGCGUAAUAGCUCACUGGUCGAGUCGGCCUGCGCGGAAGAUGUAACGGGGCUAAACCAUGCACCGAAGCUGCGGCAGCGACGCUUAUGCGUUGUUGGGUAGGGGAGCGUUCUGUAAGCCUGCGAAGGUGUGCUGUGAGGUAUGCUGGAGGUAUCAGAAGUGCGAAUGCUGACAUAAGUAACGAUAAAGCGGGUGAAAAGCCCGCUCGCCGGAAGACCAAGGGUUCCUGUCCAACGUUAAUCGGGGCAGGGUGAGUCGACCCCUAAGGCGAGGCCGAAAGGCGUAGUCGAUGGGAAACAGGUUAAUAUUCCUGUACUUGGUGUUACUGCGAAGGGGGGACGGAGAAGGCUAUGUUGGCCGGGCGACGGUUGUCCCGGUUUAAGCGUGUAGGCUGGUUUUCCAGGCAAAUCCGGAAAAUCAAGGCUGAGGCGUGAUGACGAGGCACUACGGUGCUGAAGCAACAAAUGCCCUGCUUCCAGGAAAAGCCUCUAAGCAUCAGGUAACAUCAAAUCGUACCCCAAACCGACACAGGUGGUCAGGUAGAGAAUACCAAGGCGCUUGAGAGAACUCGGGUGAAGGAACUAGGCAAAAUGGUGCCGUAACUUCGGGAGAAGGCACGCUGAUAUGUAGGUGAAGCGACUUGCUCGUGGAGCUGAAAUCAGUCGAAGAUACCAGCUGGCUGCAACUGUUUAUUAAAAACACAGCACUGUGCAAACACGAAAGUGGACGUAUACGGUGUGACGCCUGCCCGGUGCCGGAAGGUUAAUUGAUGGGGUUAGCGGUAACGCGAAGCUCUUGAUCGAAGCCCCGGUAAACGGCGGCCGUAACUAUAACGGUCCUAAGGUAGCGAAAUUCCUUGUCGGGUAAGUUCCGACCUGCACGAAUGGCGUAAUGAUGGCCAGGCUGUCUCCACCCGAGACUCAGUGAAAUUGAACUCGCUGUGAAGAUGCAGUGUACCCGCGGCAAGACGGAAAGACCCCGUGAACCUUUACUAUAGCUUGACACUGAACAUUGAGCCUUGAUGUGUAGGAUAGGUGGGAGGCUUUGAAGUGUGGACGCCAGUCUGCAUGGAGCCGGCCUUGAAAUACCACCCUUUAAUGUUUGAUGUUCUAACGUUGGCCCCUGAUCGGGGUUGCGGACAGUGUCUGGUGGGUAGUUUGACUGGGGCGGUCUCCUCCUAAAGAGUAACGGAGGAGCACGAAGGUUGGCUAAUCCUGGUCGGACAUCAGGAGGUUAGUGCAAUGGCAUAAGCCAGCUUGACUGCGAGCGUGACGGCGCGAGCAGGUGCGAAAGCAGGUCAUAGUGAUCCGGUGGUUCUGAAUGGAAGGGCCAUCGCUCAACGGAUAAAAGGUACUCCGGGGAUAACAGGCUGAUACCGCCCAAGAGUUCAUAUCGACGGCGGUGUUUGGCACCUCGAUGUCGGCUCAUCACAUCCUGGGGCUGAAGUAGGUCCCAAGGGUAUGGCUGUUCGCCAUUUAAAGUGGUACGCGAGCUGGGUUUAGAACGUCGUGAGACAGUUCGGUCCCUAUCUGCCGUGGGCGCUGGAGAACUGAGGGGGGCUGCUCCUAGUACGAGAGGACCGGAGUGGACGCAUCACUGGUGUUCGGGUUGUCAUGCCAAUGGCACUGCCCGGUAGCUAAAUGCGGAAGAGAUAAGUGCUGAAAGCAUCUAAGCACGAAACUUGCCCCGAGAUGAGUUCUCCCUGAGACUUAGAGUCUCCUGAAGGAACGUUGAAGACGACGACGUUGAUAGGCCGGGUGUGUAAGCGCAGCGAUGCGUUGAGCUAACCGGUACUAAUGAACCGUGAGGCUUAACCUUACAACGCCGAAGGUGUUU
Molecule: ribosomal RNA, 2932 nt
Filed under: Parasutterella excrementihominis
Lineage: Bacteria; Pseudomonadati; Pseudomonadota; Betaproteobacteria; Burkholderiales; Sutterellaceae
Description: 23S ribosomal RNA
Rfam family: Bacterial large subunit ribosomal RNA
Source: RNAcentral